AUUGAACGCUGGCGGCAUGCUUUACACAUGCAAGUCGAGCGGCAGCGCGGGGUUCAGGCAACUGAGCCCUGGCGGCGAGCGGCGAACGGGUGAGUAAUACAUCGGAACGUACCCAGGAGUGGGGGAUAGCCCGGCGAAAGCCGGAUUAAUACCGCAUACGAUCUGUGGAUGAAAGUGGGGGACCUAAGGGCAACUGAGGGCCUCACGCUUUUGGAGCGGCCGAUGUCCGAUUAGCUAGUUGGUGGGGUAAAGGCCUACCAAGGCGACGAUCGGUAGCUGGUCUGAGAGGAUGAUCAGCCACACUGGGACUGAGACACGGCCCAGACUCCUACGGGAGGCAGCAGUGGGAAUUUUGGACAAUGGGGCAACCCUGAUCCAGCCAUGCCGCGUGCGGGAAGAAGGCCUU
This 406-nucleotide ribosomal RNA is filed under the name uncultured bacterium. Its description in RNAcentral is "bacterial SSU rRNA". It matches the Rfam family "Bacterial small subunit ribosomal RNA", at positions 29 to 418 of the family's 1533-position model. The record is from RNAcentral.